GUUAGGAAUAUUGGACAAUGGGCGCAAGCCUGAUCCAGCCAUGCCGCGUGAGUGAUGAAGGCCUUCGGGUUGUAAAGCUCUUUAGUCCACGAAUAUAAUGACUGUAGUGGAAGAAUAAGCCCCGGCUAACUUCGUGCCAGCAGCCGCGGUAAUACGAAGGGGGCGAGCGUUAUUCGGAAUCACUGGGCGUAAAGCGUGCGUAGGCUGUUUUGUAAGUCAGAAGUGAAAGCCCAGGGCUUAACCCUGGAAUUGCCUUUGAAACUACAAGACUCGAAUUCGGGAGAGGAUAGCGGAAUUGUCAGUGUAGCAGUGAAAUGCGUAGAUAUUGACAGGAACACCAGUGGCGCAAGCGGCUAUCUGGACCGAUAUUGACGCUGAGGCACGAAAGCGUGGGGAGCAAACAGGAUUAGAUACCCGUGUAGUCC
This 425-nucleotide ribosomal RNA is filed under the name uncultured bacterium. RNAcentral describes it as "bacterial SSU rRNA". It matches the Rfam family "Bacterial small subunit ribosomal RNA", at positions 354 to 796 of the family's 1533-position model. The record is from RNAcentral.